Molecule: transfer RNA, 69 nt
Filed under: Liolaemus loboi
Lineage: Eukaryota; Metazoa; Chordata; Lepidosauria; Squamata
Also listed under: 1 other name
Description: tRNA-Ala
Source: RNAcentral
GAGGUCUUAGCUUAAUUAAAGUGUCUGAGUUGCAUUCAGGAGAUGUGUUNUAGAAUUUCACAGAUCUUA